UACGGGGGGAGCAAGCGUUGUUCGGAUUUACUGGGCGUAAAGGGCGCGUAGGCGGCCAGCACAAGUCGGUUGUGAAAUCUCCGGGCUUAACUCGGAAAGGUCAACCGAUACUGUGCGGCUAGAGUGCGGAAGGGGCAACUGGAAUUCUCGGUGUAGCGGUGAAAUGCUUAGAUAUGACAUAGAACACCGAUAGCGAAGGCAGCUUGCUACACAAUUAUUGACACUGAGGCACGAAAGCGUGGGGAUCAAACAGG
Molecule: ribosomal RNA, 254 nt
Filed under: uncultured bacterium
Lineage: Bacteria
Description: partial 16S ribosomal RNA
Rfam family: Bacterial small subunit ribosomal RNA
Source: RNAcentral